AACGAACGCUGGCGGCAUGCCUAAUACAUGCAAGUCGAACGAUCACUUCGGUGGUAGUGGCGCACGGGUGCGUAACGCGUGGGAAUCUGCCCUUGGGUUCGGAAUAACAGCGGGAAACUGCUGCUAAUACCGGAUGAUGACGAAAGUCCAAAGAUUUAUCGCCCAAGGAUGAGCCCGCGUAGGAUUAGGUAGUUGGUGAGGUAAAGGCUCACCAAGCCGACGAUCCUUAGCUGGUCUGAGAGGAUGAUCAGCCACACUGGGACUGAGACACGGCCCAGACUCCUACGGGAGGCAGCAGUAGGGAAUAUUGGACAAUGGGGGCAACCCUGAUCCAGCAAUGCCGCGUGAGUGAUGAAGGCCUUAGGGUUGUAAAGCUCUUUUACCCGAGAUGAUAAUGACAGUAUCGGGAGAAUAAGCUCCGGCUAACUCCGUG
This 433-nucleotide ribosomal RNA is filed under the name uncultured bacterium. Its description in RNAcentral is "bacterial SSU rRNA". It matches the Rfam family "Bacterial small subunit ribosomal RNA", at positions 29 to 507 of the family's 1533-position model. The record is from RNAcentral.